GGCCUGUUAGCUCAGUCGGCAGGGCGUGGUGCUAAUAACGCUAAGGUCGUGAGUUCGAUCCUCACACAGGCCA
Molecule: transfer RNA, 73 nt
Filed under: Paramuricea clavata
Lineage: Eukaryota; Metazoa; Cnidaria; Anthozoa; Malacalcyonacea; Plexauridae
Rfam family: tRNA
About the family: Transfer RNA (tRNA) molecules are approximately 80 nucleotides in length. Their secondary structure includes four short double-helical elements and three loops (D, anti-codon, and T loops). Further hydrogen bonds mediate the characteristic L-shaped molecular structure. tRNAs have two regions of fundamental functional importance: the anti-codon, which is responsible for specific mRNA codon recognition, and the 3' end, to which the tRNAs corresponding amino acid is attached (by aminoacyl-tRNA synthetases). tRNAs cope with the degeneracy of the genetic code in two manners: having more than one tRNA (with a specific anti-codon) for a particular amino acid; and 'wobble' base-pairing, i.e. permitting non-standard base-pairing at the 3rd anti-codon position.
Source: Rfam by way of RNAcentral